AGAAAGCAAAGAAACAAAAAGACAACAGGUUUCUCAACAAGAGAAGAGAAAAUGAAAAACUGCAACUUAGUGAAUUGAGAAAGCCUAGAAUACAUCGACAGCGUCCUAGAUUAAGAGUGCCAUAUCAUACAAAAUGAUGUCUAGAAAGAAAGAUUUCAAUAUCACUACCGUGAAAAACAAUUUCAUCUUCACCGAUGAAUAAACUUUUGGCUUACCACAAGUGGUAUCAACCCAUAAACUAAAGACUUAGCAUAGUAGGCAUAUCUAAUACACAACAUGUAUCUGUAUAUAUGAGAAUUCUAAUAAAUGGAUAAAUAAAUAAUCUCCUAGUGAAAAUUAGAGAAUAAUAAUUAAAAACCAAGAAGUCAAGUAAUUACUAGAAAAAUUCAAGAAAUAAGAGGUUAUUUGUCUAGAAAAUAUAAAUGUUUGGGAGCUUAUUAUGAAUAAUUUACUAAAAGUCUGUUUACUUCAUUUUUCUAGUCCUUAUAAUAGCAAUAUUGUUUCAAUGUACUCAAACGACUGCCAGAGUGGUACCCAACUAAAAGAAGAGCCAUAAAAGAAUAUAACAUAACUAGUUUGAGCACUCUCCAUCAGCCAGCACUUAGAAACUCUUACCAGUGAAAACAAAAUCUUAGGGAGUAACAAUAUCUCUCCGCAGUAGGCCCUUAAAAUUAUACCACAGCUUCCAAAGGAAAAAGAGCUUGAGGUGCCCUACUUCUAGAGAUGAAAAACCUUGAAAGGAUGAAGUUCAAAGGACGAACUUACCAAAAUCACCAUAGGGGCAAAUGGCUUUGACUCUUUUGGUUGCUCAACUGGAACUGGAGAAUAACUUACACUCUGAACUUGGAACCUUAUCUGCAGUAGAACACCAAAAGUUAAUGCAAACCACAACUGGAAGUUUUAGCAUAAUUAUAGAACUGUUAAAAGAAUUAUACAACUUAAACCUUGUCUAUCCCAUCUAUAGGAAAUUUUUGUUCUUGAUUAUCCCGUAUCCAUAUGACUUGACUCCUGGAAUUCCAUAAAAGGCAAAAAAGUAGAACACUAUACAUACGGAUGUAAGGAGUAGCCGUGAAAUGAAUGAAAAAAACAAAAGAAAAAAAGAAUGCAAAUGGUGAAAUCCUAAACAAUCUAAUUUUAAUUCCAUUAAAAAGUUAAAUGUAGGUGAGAUUCUUUUAUGGGUUAGGCUCACAGUGGGAUGGAUUUGGCAUAAGAUGGACCAGUCUGUAGACGUCUUCAAAGAAUCCAAGAGAUACUGUCCAUUACAGAUUCGAUAUCAGCAGUAUGCAGAUAUUAAAUAGGUGUUAUUCAUGAUGAUGACACAAAAUAGAAUUCACCAUGUGCAUAGCAGCUAUUUUCACUGAUGAGAAGCCAAAGGAUGCCCUAAAACAAGGUUUAUUUUGAAAAACAAAAUUCUGAUAUCCACUCUACAUCUUCGAGAGGUAACUCACUGAGACAGGGUACAACUACGUUGCAUUAAGUAUUUGAAGAGCAACAUGAUCUUGGCCAUAAUGAAAAAGCAUAGCAGCAAAGCCCAUAAAAAUAAUAACCAACUAGAAAGGACUAAGCUAAGUAUCUAGCUAAGAUGAAAGAUCACACUCCAAUAAUCACAGGUAUUAUGCCCAAUGCUUCGGAAGCUGAUUCCUUAACUCAUGAGCAAUGUCAAGGAGCAACGAUUUUGUGAAAAGAGUAGUUAGGAAAAAGUAUAUGAAUAACAUGUUCCUUAACAAGAAGUGAUUUGGAUAUAACUGCUGAACUAAAAGUUAUAAAAGUGUUUUUAAACAAUCUUCAAUCUCUAGCUCUGAUAUUGCAACCAGUCUUUGGGAACCAAGAUGCCACUUUUACAACGGAGCUAGAGAAUGACUUAUAUGAAGAUAAAUGGCCUACAGGAUUCAACAGCAUUUCCCAGGUCUGGUACGAGUGCCAACGACUGGUACAUGUCAUUUUCAUCCAAAUACAUCAAUUGAAAUACCAUCGACUCCGUUUUCAUCUUGUCUGGACUAAUAUGAUACAGUUGAAAGCCCUACAAGGACAGGGGCAAGGGCAAGGCAAAGAAAGUAGUGAGAAAGGUGAAUAAAUUGUGCUUCCAUAAGUAAUAUGGCUCUAGACAUGGUGGAGCAUCAAAAAUGGAUUUCAAUAACUGAACCCAAGUAAUUGAGGCUCUGUCGAUUUGCUUAAUUUUGACUCAAGUUGCGUCAAUUCUCUGGUAGAAGAAAUGGAUUUUCACAAUCAGCCAUAAAAAUAGCAAAUAUAAGAAAAUGAUCUUUUUUACCAUUUACAUUUCCCCUGAUCCUGUGCUUUCAUUAACCCAAUAUGAUAUAAAUAUAAUUUUUAUUUUUUCUCAUUUUUUUCUUCUCUAGUUUAUUUCUCUCACAUUUAUUUCAAUUAUUUUAACUGGUUAAAUAAUUUAAAAACACAUAAGAUCUAACUUAUCCUAGUUGUAUUUAAUUUUCUUUCAAAUUUUCCAUAAUGAAACCAGAAAAUUUUCUUCCAUAGCCUACCCUAAUCAUUAUCACAUAUUUGCAUUAUGUUAUCAAAAUUGUUAUUAAUAUGGCUUUGAAGUAGCAGUUUGAAAAUUUGUCCAUAGACAUGAAAUUUGGAUUAAGCUGACCAGGUCCAAAAUUUUAGACUCAUUGUACCCUAAUUAUUUGAGUUGAGCACUCUGGUAGUCCACCAAAUAUGCCUUUAAAGAACUCCUUUUCAAGGGACUAACUCUCAUGUAUAAUGUAUUAUUCCUGACUUUUUCAGUGGAGAAGCAUUUUCCGAUCUAAAAACAGAGAAAAAGAAAAUUGCGUACAGAAAGAUCAGGUGACCCGGCCAGUAGCAGCAUUUCUUCGAUUUCUCACCAUUUCUGGACAAAUUUUAGGGAGAAAUGAUAGUGAAAUUGCAGAUCUAAGGAGCAGCAAAAUUUUUGCCCAUUCACUUUCAAAUCGAAGGUAGGCUUUUGCCACCUUGCUGUCCAAUUCCACCAUUCUGCACAAAUUGUUGAAAAAAAGGGGCCAAAUUACGCAGAAAUUCGAAGCCCGACUCCUGCAAAAUUGCAGAUCUAGAAACACCGAUCUCAACGUCGGUAGAAUCUGAAGCUACAAAUCAAUCAGAAACAGAGAUUAACAGAGGAAAGAAAACGAAGGAAAAUUCUGUACAUGUUGAGAGAGAGGGGAAAGAUGGAGGCCACCUCCAAUUCACGGCCAGCAUCACCAUUACCAUGAUCGAUCCGCUACUUCUGUACAAAUUUUUUUUGAAGAAAUUCAACUGAGAAAAAAAUUUGAUAAGAAAGAAACACUCAGAGCUCCGAAGGAAGCCAGGGGCCAGGGCUCAUCUCUACCUCUUCUUCAAUCUUCACUACUCAAUAAAAAGGAUCCAACCGACAGCCAAACAGGUACUUAUACACAUGUACAAUUUUCGAAUACUACGCGUUUCCACCGCGCGUCAAAGAACGUGCGCCAACUUCUUCCACGUCCGUCCACACAAGAUUUGAUCAAGAGAAGUAAAAAAAUGAAAAUCAUGGCAGAUGAAAGAAGAAAAAAUUUGAUCAAGAGACUCACAAAAAAAAUAAAAAAUAAAACCAGUUCGCAAUCUUAUUAUAUGAUUGACAUAAAAUUAAAAUAACAUUGUUGUUGAAAGCUAAAAAAUAACCCAUACACACAAGAUUUAGGAGGAGCGGUAAAGCCCGAAGAACCGAAGAAGCCUAUCGGCAUCAGUGAAGCGUGGAUGCGGAGCAUGGACGAUGACGGUCACCUCCUUUGUGGGUACUGGAAGAAGCAGAAGAAGGAGGGACUGGAGCUUUUCCCAUUAAAACAGCGUCCUGGCGAGUGGAUGGAGGGCAUGGGCGAUGGUCACCUCCAUUGCCGCCACCUAUAUGGGUACAGGAAGAAGCAGCAGAAGGAGGGACUGGAGCUUUUCCCAUUAAAACAGCGUCCUGAUGAGUGGAUCGGGGGCAUGGGCGAUGGUCACCCCCACUGCCGCCUCCUGUAUGGGUGCAGGAAGAAGCGGCAGAAGGAGGGACUGAAGCUUUUGCCAUUAAAACAGCGUCCUGAUGAGUGGAUGGGGGGCAUGGGCAAUGGUCACCUCCCUUGCCGCCACCUAUAUGGGUGCAGGAAGAAGCGGCAGAAGGAGGGACUGGGGCUUUUUCCAUUAAAACAGCGUCCUGAUGAGUGGAUGGGGGGCAUGGGCGGUGGUCACCUCCAUUGCCGCCACCUAUAUGGGUACAGGAAGAAGCAGCAGAAGGGGGGACUGGACCUUUAGCCAUUAAAGCAUCGUACUUAAGACUGCUAUCAACCCUAGCACCUCCCACAAGAGCUGUGGUGAGAAUGAACCAGACAGAGAUUGAGAAGGAGACCCAGACCCAACUGAUGACUUUGUUGAACAACUCCAUGUUGUAAUAUGAGUGCAAAAUCAUGAGUGAUGGAUGGGGAGGGGGUGGUUGGGUUUUAUAGACAAAUGCACUGUAAAUCUGCACCGGUAGGACAAGUGGGCAGUGUUCGGGAGCUUUGGGUAUAAGCUAGAUUUGGGAAUGUUUGGGAGCUUUGGGUAGAGUGACCCAAGUAUUGGCUGCAGAGAGAGUGGCAAGAAAGAAAAUGUCGACACGACAUCGGCGAUUUCCACCCCCCCAGAGCGCCCAAGAGAGUAGCAAUCCCCCCCUUUCCCCCCCACCGCCCAAGAGAGUAGCAAGGAAGAAAACGUCGACACGACAUCGGCGAUUUCCCCAUCUAGACUAACUUGCCUUUGUUAUAUAAUAUGUUUUAAUACAAUUGAAUUAAAUAAAUUAUAUUUUAAUAUUAAUAUAUAUUUUAAAAUUAAAUAUAUUAUAAUCAAAUAUCAUAAUAUUAUAUAUAAUUUAAUAAUAUAUAUAUAUAUAUAUAUAUAUAUAUAUAUAUAAAAUUUAUAUUUUUAUCGAUAUAUACGAUAUUAUUAUCAAAUAUGAUAAAUCAUAUUAUAAAUAUAUCAAAAUUUUUAAUAAAAUAAUUUUAAAAUAUUCAUUAUACUUUUAAUUAUAUUAUUAUGAGAUUUUUUUAUAUUUUUAUGAGUUUUUAAUAAUUUUAAAUUUAUCAAUAUUUUUUUUUAAAAUAUAUAUUGAUAUAUUUAUGAUAUAUCCAUAAAAUCAAUAUAUUUGUUAUUAUUAAUAUUUUCAUCAGAUAAUAGAUCCCUGGCCUUUGUUAAAAAAAUUCGACAAGCUUGAGGCUUGUGCUGCCUUCUAGAAAAAGUAGCAGAAGAAUUCAUCGAGGAUUGUGAAGAGUCCGAAGACUUGUGCUCCACUGGGAAGAACAAGUAGAAGAAUGAUUAGAUUCUUUGUCAUUAAUUGGGAGUGAAAAUUGAAAGCCAAAGGAACCUCAUGAAUUCACAAAAAUCUAUUGAGACGGAAAGUGGAAGAAUAUUUCCAAUUUGGGACCAAGCCUGAAAUGAUGUUCAAAGAAGAGAAUUCAUGGUAACUUUCCAUUGGCCUAUGACAUGAUAAGAUAGUUAGAGCCCUUAUGAUAAGACAUUGGUAGACUUUCUGAAAAUAUAAUGAUUUUAUAAAAUAAUAUUCCAAGAAUAGGGUGGAACGUAUGUUUUUGGGACCAUUUUUUUAAAACAUAAUUUUUUUUUAAAACAUCAAAUUAAUAUAUAUAUAUAUUUUUUACCUAUUUGAACUCAAAUUUUCAAAAAAAGAAAAGGAAAAAAAAGGAGAGUGUCACGAAGUGUGUUUGGCACGCUCUGCUAAAGGACGUGGUAGCAGCAGCCUGCGUCAAGAAAACGGCGUGAACGUUGCUUCCGCAAGUCUUCUAAUAAUCCAAACAAUUAAUAGAACAUGUGAAAAGGCAUUGACUAGUCAAAAAGGCGACUUAUCCUCAAAAGGGCGACUGAUCCUUAUUACCGUGACACAUACACCAUACACGCACCAGCACUAGGAUGAAAUGUUGCCGGACCUUGGAUUUUAUGAAAUUUUCAACAAAAAUACUUAUAUUCAUGUAAAUUUUUAUACAAAUAAAUUUGGGAAAGUUAGGUUUUGGAUUGGUGAUGCGGAAAAUAUAUGAUUUUGAAAAUUCAAUUUUACAUAUUUCAAAAUUGAUAAUGUAAUUAGAUAAUAUUUGGAGAAUCAUGCAUUUUCAGCUUAUGUGUAUUUUAAUGCUAAAAAUACCCUUCACCUUGCCAGCUAAGCAUUCGACAUCUGAAAAUUCUGAAAAGAAAAAACUCUCCGAAAAGCCACAAAGCCAAUAUCUCUCUCGUAUACUACUUUUCCCCUUCUCUCUCCCAUUCUCAAUCUCAUAAACCCAAAAUGUUGUAAAACCUAACCUCUUUCAUUUCUGUAACAUUCUCGUCUCCCAUUUUGUUGAUAAACAUCAACAACCCAAAACCUAACUUUCCCAAAAAAAAAAGUUAUAAUGCUGCGGAGGAGAAGAAUUUAUCAGGUGGAUGUGUUGGUAAAUGAGAAACGAAUCAGAAGGAAGAGACAAGGGACUACGGGAGGAAACCGGGAAAGGUGAUAUGAUAUCCUUUUUGUUCCCAAAUUACUUGAUCCAAAAACCCUAAUUUCUAAAACGAAGAUCAGAUCCGGGGAAAAUUGAUAAUCGGAAUCAAUGGUGGGUGCAUCGAGCUCAUGGUCUCGCGCAUUGGUUCAGAUCUCACCCUACACCUUCUUCGCCAUCGGUAUCGCCAUUGCCAUCGGCGUUUUCGUCUUAGGUGCCGCUUGGUACUUUCUCUUCCCUCCAUCCCUUGUAAAAUCCACCAAAAUAAAACAACUACUAAAAUUUUUGCAUUCUUGUCAAACCAGCGGAGGUUUAGGUUAAAUUGAUACAUUAUAUUUGUUUUUUUUUUUUUUUUUUUUGGAUCGUUGUUUUGAUGGUUGCGUUAUUGCUGCAUUUUUAGGGGAAUUUAUAUAACUGGAAGUAGUCUAAUUGGUGUUUCCAUCAAAGCUCCUCGGAUUACUUCAAAAAAUCUAAUUAGGUGCGUACUUCAACUUUCUUUCUUUUUUUCUCGCUGGUUUUAUGGAUCAUUGAUGUGGUAUUACAUGGACUAGUUCUCUAGACUUAUCAAAAAAAUAUUCGAAAGGAAAUUUUUUUCUUCAAAAUGAUUCCCUCAAAACAAGAAGAUUUUAUGAAUUUAUUCUUGUUGAUUCAGAUUCUGUAGAAGUUUCCCAUAUUCAAAACAGAGAUUCUACAAAAAUUUGUUAUUCAAAAUGCAAAAUUUUCAAAGUUAUUUUUGAACUUGAGUAGAGACAAUCUCUUGUCACCCAUAAAAUGUUUUCUCAAAAUUUUAAGCCAUCUUCAUAUGAUUAUUAUGAUUAUAUGGAUGCAUGGUUUUGUGUUUUUCUCUUUCGUCCAUUCGAUCAUUCCUAGUUAUUCCAUUAGUAUUUAAAUUUCAAACUUCCUUUCCAAAUUGGUUCCAAGAAUGGUGGUUAUACUUUGGCGCCAUUCCAACAAUUUUAUAUCCUCAAAUCAAACCAUCUUUUGAUUACUUCAAAGAGCAUGCAAAGGGUUUGAUCUCUGCUCGAUGUUCUCAAACUCUUUUCUUCACUUCUCGCUUUCAAAUUCCAUGAAUCUUGUGUUGAGAUUUUGUUCAAACACAUCUAAUUGAUCUUUUAUUUCCCGCGCAUUUGGCGUAUGAAUUCAAAGUUAAAUGGUGGUCAAACUUCUCCCCAUCUUCUGCUCAACAACUUUCUCAUAUAAAAAACUAGAUUGCAGCAAAGGCUCCCUCCAAUAUUCAAAAUCCUUUUUAACUUCAUUUUCUUCUAUAUGAAGGAAUUCCAACUUCAUCAACACCUUUAGUUGCACAUUCUUCCAUCAAGCUGUUGAGAGAACACCUCAAAAUGCUUCAGCAACGUGCGGUGGAAACCCUCUCUCAACUGGCUUCAAAUUUUGAUGAUGAUGAUUCAACCUCUUCAAUUCUCAAAGAGCCCCAAAAUGAAGACAUGUGUUAUAGCUUGCCAUACACAACGUUGGACUAAGAUGGAGUCCUUUCUCUUCAACAAUAUUCAAAAGCGUCAAAUCAACUUCAAAGCAAAAUACAAAACCACACAUCCAUAUAAUCAUAAUAAUCAUACGAAGAUGACUUAAAAUUUUGAGAAAACGUUUUAUGGGUGACAAGAGAUUGUCCCCACUCAAGUUCAGAAAUAACUUUGAAAAUUUUGCAUUUUAAAUAACAAAUUUUUGUAGAAUCUCUGUUUUGAAUAUGGGAAACUUCUACAGAAUUUGGAUUAACAAGAAUAAAUUCAUAAAAUCUUCUUGUUUUGAGGGAAUCAUUUGAAGAAAAUAUUUUCCUUUUGGAAAUUUUUUUGAUAAGUCUAAAGAACCAGACUUAUUGAGAUGAUGAACUUCGAAUAUUCGAACUUUCAUCAAAUGGGCUUUUGCAAUGUAAUUGCUUGGAGCCUGCUUUGAAGGUUGGGCUUGGGUCACUUGAUAAAAUGUUUGAGAAGGCUUAAGGAUAUUUCCUAAGACUUGAAAUUGGUUUGAAAUUUGGGUUUGAAAAAUAAUAACAAUAAUAAUAAACAAACAAAUAGCGAAUAUUUUAUGGAACCUUGACCAAGUCUAAUUCAAUCUUAUAUUAAACUUUUUUGAGUUGCAUUGGAACAAUUUCAAAUAAUUUGAGUUUUUUUUUUCUUAUUAUAUUAUUUAAAUUAUUAAAAUUAAUAAGACUUAUAUUUGUAAUUUUCAUUGUUAAAACAAAUAAACUUGGGAUUGAUGUUUUUAAAACUCUUCGAAAGAUUUUUCUAUUUUUUUUAAGAAAAAAAUAGUACGGAUAAAUAAAUGAAGUAAAAUAAAAAUAUGAAGUACUAUGAGGCUAGACAAAAGAAAUAAAAUACGGAAAAGAAGGUUGAAGAAGUGCAUGGAUAGGGAAAAAAGAGUUUAUGGAUGAUCACAAAAAACUUCAAAAGAUACUUUGCAAAUUCUCAACAUUUAAUUUCUCGUACUAAUUCUCACCUUUCAAUUUCUAGUUCCCAUAGUUUUUGUUAAUUAAUAAAAAUAAUAACAAUAAUAAACUAAUAAAUAAAAAUAAUCAUUUAAUGAAACCUCAGUCAAGUCCAAUUCAAUCUUGUAUUAAACCCUUUUUAGCAGUUUUAGAACAUUUUCCAACAUUUUGAAUUUUUUAAAUUAUUAAAAGUAAUAAAACUUAUAUUUAUAAUUAAUAUUUUUUUUUAAAAACCUUGGGAUUGAUAUUUUUAGAACCCAUUGAAAGGUUCUUCUUAUUCUGUUUUUUUAUUUUUUUACUUUUUAUUUUUUAUUUAUUUAUAAUUCUACAAGGCCGAAUGCUAUUGAUGAUCUACAAAAACAAUAUUGAUAAACAAAUCAACUAAUAAUGAAAUAGAAUAACUACGAAGUACUAUGAAAUAGGGAAAAAGAAAUAAAAGAACUUUAUAAAAUAUAAAAAAGCUGGUAGAAGAACUUAUGAUUAAGGAAAAUGAGUAUAUAGGCCACCGCAAAAGAUGAGAUACUAAUAUAUAUAUUUUAAUUAUCAACAUUCAAUUUCUUGAGCAAAUUCUCACAAGAUUUCUAGCUCACAUAGUUUUUACUUAAUAAUAUAAAUAAUAAAAAUAAUAAUACACAAAUAAAUAAAAAGUAAUUCAAUGAAGAAAAAGUUUAUUUGAAAACUUGGAAUAUUCUUCUAUCAUUUUUUAUGUUUCCAAAUAUUUCUUAAAAAUAACUUUUAUUUAUAGUAUUUUAUUUUCAAUUAUUCUCCGUAUUCAUACAAUUAUUUUUUAUAAUAACCCCCCAUAAAACAACUUAAAGCAAUUUAAACACAUUAUCAUAAAACAACCCAUUUUUAGAACAAAUUUUUAAAAACUGUUUUAUAAAAUUUUUUUUUGCCAAAUGUGCUUUUAAAUUUGAGCAAAAAUUCCAAGGUUGAUGAUAUUUCUUCUUGAUAAAAAUCAGAGCUAUAUCAAUAGCAGUUUCCCCUUCCAAUCAAAAUGAGAAACUGUUUCUAAAAUUUAAUUUUUAUCUCCUAUGAUAAGAAAAUUUAAAUCAUGCUAGGGGUAUGAUUUCCUUUACUGUUCCUGCUGCUUCUCCCUUUUCUUUUAACAGAUCACCACCAUGAAACAGGACUUAAACCAUCAUAAUCAAGUGAUCCCUGCUAAACAGAAAACAGAGCUAGGAGCAACUCCUUGUCAGAAAGGAACUGUCAUUUACAAAAGCAGCAAUCCUAACAAAUUCAAGAGACACCAUAAAGUUGAUUUUCAGAAAGACAAAGGUGCCUCACAUCAAUUGUUACAUUUUACAAAGACAUGUAAAUAGAUUUAAGGAUUGCCGAAGGACUACUAAUUUCCUUAUUGAAGAACUUAGAGCAUUGAGAUUGGAUUGGAAGAAGAAAACAAGCCAAAAUAAUCAGAAGCUGGCAUUCUCUUCCAGUGGGGCACAUCUAUAUAUACCUGACACUCUCAAUUAAUAGGAAGCACAUUUGAUGAAUAUCCCACAAGACAUCCACAUAUAUUUGUGUACAAGAAAUGCCUUUUUAUUUAAAACUAGUGCAAAUAGGAACCAGUUCGGAGCAUCCGGAAAGCGUCCAUCUCUACGAGCAUAUACGAUAUACUUGGAGAACUCACUGAAUCAAUCAGAUAUCCAAAUAUUGAAAUGAAUUUGGAUCUCUGUUUUUGGUAAUCUAAUGGGUGACUAAGGUCAAAUUGGGUGGAUCUGUCAAAAUUGUCUUACAGGCUUAACCUCCUUUUUUCUUAAUCACCUCUGGGAGUGUUAUUGCUCAAGCUAUAUUUGUUUCUUCCUUCAUAUAUAAGUGGUAUUUGCUGCUUUCACAGAAAUUCAGAGUAGCUCACUAGGUUCUAUAAAAGCAACCAAAACAUUUCCUGUACAAUAAAGUUGUCUUCCCCCCAUUUCCAUUCAUGCAUUCAUUGUUCAAAAAUAUCAUUUACAAACACAUUAGAAAAAAUAUGUUCUUAUUACCUAUGACAUAUGUAUAUAUUAGUAACAGAAAAAAGGGCCUUUUGGUAUGUAUAAAUUAAUGGAAUGCCUGAACAUAACAAGAAUAUGACAAAGAGUCCUAUAAAAAUGGGCCUUUGGUUUUUAUUUUUUUUACUUUAUGGAAUAACCAAUUUAUUGCACAAAGAAAAAAGGAAGAAGAUAAAAUCAAUAAACAUGCACAGUAUACAAAAAGCAAAGAAACGAAAAGACAACAGGUUUCUCAACAAGAGAAGAGAAAAUGAAAAACUACAACUUAGUGAAGUGAGAAAGCCUAUAAUAUAUUAACAGUGUCCUAGAUUAAGAGUGCCAUAUCAUAUAAAAUGAUGUCUAGAAAGAAAGAUUUCAAUAUCACCAACAUGAAAAACAAUUUCAUCUUCACCAGUGAAUAAACUUUUGGCUUACCACAAGUGGCAUCAACCCAUAAACUAAAGACUUAGUAUAGUAGGCAUAUCUAAUACACACACAUGUAUCUGUAUAUAUG
RNAcentral lists this long non-coding RNA (11364 nucleotides) under Vitis vinifera (wine grape). RNAcentral's name for it is "long non-coding RNA (VVIN_LNC001999)". The record is from RNAcentral. Lineage: Eukaryota; Viridiplantae; Streptophyta; Magnoliopsida; Vitales; Vitaceae.